Molecule: transfer RNA, 63 nt
Filed under: Aliifodinibius sp. S!AR15-10
Lineage: Bacteria; Pseudomonadati; Balneolota; Balneolia; Balneolales; Balneolaceae
Description: tRNA-Ser
Source: RNAcentral
ACGAAAGGGUAUUAAAACUGAUUACGGAUCAGGAGGUUGGGGGUUCGAAUCCUCCCGUGCGUA